This 301-nucleotide ribosomal RNA is filed under the name uncultured bacterium. RNAcentral's name for it is "partial 16S ribosomal RNA". It matches the Rfam family "Bacterial small subunit ribosomal RNA", at positions 509 to 807 of the family's 1533-position model. The record is from RNAcentral.
CAGUAGCCACGGGAAUACGUAGGGUGCAAGCGUUAAUCGGAAUUACUGGGCGUAAAGCGUGCGCAGGCGGUUUGUUAAGACAGAUGUGAAAUCCCCGGGCUUAACCUGGGAACUGCAUUUGUGACUGGCAAGCUAGAGUAUGGCAGAGGGGGGUGGAAUUCCGCGUGUAGCAGUGAAAUGCGUAGAUAUGCGGAGGAACACCGAUGGCGAAGGCAGCCCCAUGGGCCAAUACUGACGCUCAUGCACGAAAGCGUGGGGAGCAAACAGGAUUAGAUACCCCCGUAGUCCCUGUCUCUUAUAC